Long non-coding RNA from Odocoileus virginianus texanus, 1174 nucleotides. RefSeq lists it as uncharacterized. Lineage: Eukaryota; Metazoa; Chordata; Mammalia; Artiodactyla; Cervidae. The record is from RefSeq and is a predicted model, not a curated record.
ACCACUGAGCCACCAGGGAAGCCGUAUCCAUCUUGAUACGUUGGUAUUUUAUGUAAUUUUUGCUGGUAUUGCUAAUUUCUCAAAAGACUGUAAAAAUUCACAUUUCGCCUGUUCUUUUUGAGAGACUGAUGAUGCAUUGAAAGGGAAGAUGCACAGUCCUUGAAUAGGGAAGAGGAGGUGGGGCCUAAAAUACACAUAAAAGGACUGGGCUUUGAUAAGGAAAGGAAUACUUUCUCCACUGUAACGGGAAAAAAGGAAACGAUUACUUAGUUGUCCAUAAUUCUGUAGUUUUGGUGGUAAUUGAGACAUUCUGUAGUCUCAGUGAAAUAGGAUAUAAAAUCAUCAGUUGAAAGGAGGAACUUGGAAAAUUCAAAGUGUGAAAUCAAUCCUAGAAAGUCAAAAAGGGUGUAGGAUUGCUAGGCCAUGUUGAAUUUAAAAUACAGUCACAAUGUGUGAUUUUCUCUAGCUGUAUCUGUGAUGUGGGUUUGUACUCAGAUAAAGUGGAUACUUAGCGUCACUAGGGCUAGAGUUUGCUAAUAAGUACGUGUGACUGGGCAGGGGGCAAAGGAAAUAAGAGCAGUCUGCAAGGGAAUGGUUGUAUUGUACAUAGACCGCAAAUCUAAGCUCAAAGGACAGAAAGAGGCUGUAGGAUUGCAACAGAAUCAGUAGAUUAGAAGGUUCAAUGAGGGGGAAGAAUUUUUAACGACAGAGACACCAAAACUAAUGAACAGGAAGGAUGGGGUGGGGUGUUGGAAUGUGGAAUGUAUGAAUUUAGAAUUUUGGCAUGGGUAAGGGUUUCUAUUGACCGAUUCAAGGAGUUGCCCAUGGAUUUGGAUCACUGAGAUACAGUGAAAGAAGGAUUCAUGAGAGAAGUUGUGAAGGAUCUGGGAGGCCACGUUAUGUUUGCAAGGCAGCAAGAACAGCUGCUGAGCAGAUGUAAGAGGAAUGGAGAAGAUUUCAAACAACAGCUGUGGAGAGAAGUGUCACAGAGAAGGGUCGUCAAGAGAUGUUUGAGGGCUCAACUGGAGAUGGAGAUCGUUAGGCAUAAACUUCUCCCUUCCUGCCUCUCCCAUUGCAUAUGCAAUAUCUAUUUUCUCUUAUUCCCACCGGCCUGAAUUCAUUACUUUCUCAUCUGUGUUUCAAUAGUAUUAAACACCUACUUUGAUAUCUCUUA